RNAcentral lists this transfer-messenger RNA (353 nucleotides) under Phycisphaerales. RNAcentral describes it as "JAEUJB01 sp016794865 Standard tmRNA". It matches the Rfam family "transfer-messenger RNA". Rfam says of the family: Bacterial tmRNA, also known as 10Sa RNA or SsrA, is named for its dual tRNA and mRNA-like properties. RNAcentral also lists the same sequence under 2 other names. Lineage: Bacteria; Pseudomonadati; Planctomycetota; Phycisphaerae. The record is from RNAcentral.
GGGGCCGAAAUGGUUUCGACCGGGCAUGUGAUGCUGGACGUGGCGCGUCGAGGCGCACGUGGACCUUCGUAAAAAGCGUGCAAGACAAUAACUGCUGAGAGCAACUACGCUCUCGCGGCCUAAUACUGGCCGCGGUGACUCCGCCCGACGCCCGAUGGGGCGGGGUCACACGACAUCGGGCUGGCUCCCGCGCGACGCCUUCGGGCGCGGGAGUGAGAAAACUCCGCGGGCUUGGUUUCGGGACACGUUGCUGGUGGCGGAUCCCGACGCCGAGAUCAAAUCACCGGACACACGCGUAGAGGCGUCCAGCGGACUGACUCGGGACCGGGGUUCGAUUCCCCGCGGCUCCAUUG